Myotis brandtii (Brandt's bat) is the source of this 236-nucleotide long non-coding RNA. RefSeq lists it as uncharacterized. The transcript has 3 exons. NCBI's taxonomy places the organism in Eukaryota, Metazoa, Chordata, Mammalia, Chiroptera, Vespertilionidae. The record is from RefSeq and is a predicted model, not a curated record.
AGAAUCAAUUUAUGAGCAAGGAGUGAAAACUUCCUGGUGGUGUCAAAAAACAAUAUAAAUAUUAGGGACUUUCAACAGUAUAGAAGUGAAGGAGUAGCUGAUGGAUGGUAGAAGGCAAAGCACAUCCAGUAAAUUUUAACACGAUGUCAUCUCUAAUGGAAUAUAUUACAGCCGGGUUUAAAGGUCAAGUAAUUUACUGGUGCCCUUGGACUGGAAGUGGAAGCCCAGAGCACGGG